UUUGACAUGCCUGGACCGCCAGAGAGAUCUGGCUUUCCCUUCGGGGACUAGGACACAGGUGCUGCAUGGCUGUCGUCAGCUCGUGUUGUGAAAUGUUGGGUUAAGUCCCGCAACGAGCGCAACCCUUAUCCUUUGUUGCCAGCGGUUCGGCCGGGAACUCAAAGGAGACUGCCAGUGAUAAACUGGAGGAAGGUGGGGAUGACGUCAAGUCAUCGUGGCCCUUACGAGUAGGGCUACACACGUGCUACAAUGGCAUAUACAAAGAGAAGCGACCUCGCGAGAGCAAGCGGACCUCAUAAAGUAUGUCGUAGUCCGGAUUGGAGUCUGCAACUCGACUCCAUGAAGUCGGAAUCGCUAGUAAUCGUAGAUCAGAAUGCUACGGUGAAUACGUUCCCGGGCCUUGUACACACCGCCCGUCACACCAUGGGAGUGGGUUGCAAAAGAAGUAGGUAGCUUAACCUUCGGGAGGGCGCUUACCACUUUGUGAUUCAUGACUGGGGUGAAGUCGUAACAAGGUAACCGUAGGGGAACCUGCGGCUGGAUCACCUCCUU
This 552-nucleotide ribosomal RNA is filed under the name uncultured Kluyvera sp. Its description in RNAcentral is "bacterial SSU rRNA". It matches the Rfam family "Bacterial small subunit ribosomal RNA", at positions 980 to 1532 of the family's 1533-position model. The record is from RNAcentral. Lineage: Bacteria; Pseudomonadati; Pseudomonadota; Gammaproteobacteria; Enterobacterales; Enterobacteriaceae.